Coffea eugenioides is the source of this 106-nucleotide small nucleolar RNA. Lineage: Eukaryota; Viridiplantae; Streptophyta; Magnoliopsida; Gentianales; Rubiaceae. The record is from RefSeq and is a predicted model, not a curated record.
AGUCCAUUGUGAAGACACUUCUGAAGCAAGUCCCAAAUCUUUCCCAUACUUCAUAUAAUGACUCGAUAUCGUAUUGACUAAAACUAGUAAUGUCCAUCCUAAGAUU